Molecule: ribosomal RNA, 253 nt
Filed under: uncultured bacterium
Lineage: Bacteria
Description: partial 16S ribosomal RNA
Rfam family: Bacterial small subunit ribosomal RNA
Source: RNAcentral
UACAGAGACUGCAAGCGUUAUUCGGAUUCACUGGGCGUAAAGGGUGCGCAGGCGGUCGUGUGUGUCAGGUGUGAAAUCUCGGAGCUCAACUCCGAAACUGCGCCUGAAACUACACGGCUAGAGCAUUGGAGAGGGUAGCGGAAUUCACGGUGUAGCAGUGAAAUGCGUAGAUAUCGUGAGGAACACCAGAGGCGAAGGCGGCUACCUGGACAAUUGCUGACGCUCAGGCACGAAAGCGUGGGGAGCAAAAGGG